Molecule: non-coding RNA, 612 nt
Organism: Paramuricea clavata
Lineage: Eukaryota; Metazoa; Cnidaria; Anthozoa; Malacalcyonacea; Plexauridae
Source: the annotation of a GenBank genome assembly
CUAUCUUUUAGUGUGUUUUUACGUAUUUACGUUCAGCAUUGUCUUUCAUAAUGCUCAAAAUUUUCAACUUGUUGUGUUGCGAACUGUCAAACUGAAAUGAUACUGUCUUCUAUUAACUCUUGAACAGUAGUGAACUGUCGCCGAAACUUUAAUAUAUAAGUCCUGUCACUCAAUUCAAUUCAAUUCACGGGUAUCGAUCGUUUUAUCUGCUAAAUCAAAUAAAACAGUUAUGAGUUGUUUUAUAUGUAAAAGUUAAACUUGUAGUUCGAUGUUUUGAAAAGUUUUCACACCGAUUUUAACAACAAAAACAAAUGUAAAGAAACACUGGAUUCUCUAUAAUCACUACACUCAAAAAGUUAAUGCAUGUUUUGAUGUUAAUAGGCCAAGGACUUGGAAAACGUUUUGCUCUAAAUGUCGUUCUUGUUUUACGUCCUGUUGUUCGUAGAAGUGCAUGUUCUGAGUUUUUGUACGAAUGUAAUUAUGUAAUACCGUAAAUAUUUGUUAAUUUUGUUAAUUUUAUAACCGUUUAUAGUCAGUAUAGCAUAGUAUAGCGUAGUAUUUUCAUGUAUGGCAGGACUUAAUUUGGGACUUUAUUAGUCCUGUUGUCUGUGC